Molecule: unclassified non-coding RNA, 305 nt
Filed under: plant metagenome
Description: partial contains 5.8S ribosomal RNA, internal transcribed spacer 2, and large subunit ribosomal RNA
Rfam family: 5.8S ribosomal RNA (bases 1-105)
Source: RNAcentral
GAAAUGCGAUAAGUAAUGUGAAUUGCAGAAUUCAGUGAAUCAUCGAAUCUUUGAACGCAUAUUGCGCCCGCCAGUAUUCUGGCGGGCAUGCCUGUCCGAGCGUCAUUUCAACCAUCAAGCCCCGGGCUUGUGUUGGGGACCUGCGGCUGCCCGCAGGCCCUGAAAACCAGUGGCGGGCUCGCUGUCACACCGAGCGUAGUAGCAAUCACCUCGCUCAGGGCGUGCUGCGGGUUCCGGCCGUUAAACAGCCUUACAAAACCCAAGGUUGACCUCGGAUCAGGUAGGAAGACCCGCUGAACUUAAGC